This 411-nucleotide long non-coding RNA is filed under the name Monodelphis domestica (gray short-tailed opossum). RNAcentral describes it as "lncRNA (ENSMODG00000037579.1)". Lineage: Eukaryota; Metazoa; Chordata; Mammalia; Didelphimorphia; Didelphidae. The record is from RNAcentral.
ACCAAAUUUGCAAGCCGUGGUGACUGGGAUAAUGGAGGUGCCCUUGAAAUUAAUGGGGAGGGUAAGAACCUUUUCACUCUCUCCCAUGGUCACUUUGGUGAGGUCUGACUUAUCAGAUGAGCUGAGAAACACCUUAGAAAACAAAGAAAAGGAUCAAGUGCGAGGCUCAAAGUAAAGUGAGAGGAAUCAGAGGCAACAAGUGAAGAAACUGGGAGAGGCAGCAUGUCACACCACAUCCACAUGGUUCUAAGGACUCCUCUACAAGGGCAUCUAGGUGGUAUAGUAAAUAGAAUGCCAGGUCUGGAGUCAGAAGACUGAUCUUCCUGAGUUCCAAUCUGUACUUAAAAAAUUACUAGCUGCAGGACCUAGGGCAAGUGAUUUAACCUCCUCUGCCUCAGUUUCCUCAUCUGU